UCCGUUUUGUCAACGGCAGUCUCACUAGAGUGCCCAGCUUGACCUGAUGGCAACUAGGGAUAAGGGUUGCGCUCGUUGCGGGACUUAACCCAACAUCUCACGACACGAGCUGACGACAGCCAUGCAGCACCUCCGCAGCGGUUCUUGCGAAAAGGGAUAUUUCUAUCCUUGUCCACUGCGCUUCGAGCCCAGGUAAGGUUCUUCGCGUUGCGUCGAAUUGAACCACAUGCUCCACCGCUUGUGCGGGCCCCCGUCAAUUCCUUUGAGUUUCAGUCUUGCGACCGUACUCCCCAGGCGGAGUGCUUAAUGUGUUGACUUCGGCACAGCAGGGGUCGAUACCCGCUACACCAAGCACUCAUCGUUUACGGCGUGGACUAC
Molecule: unclassified non-coding RNA, 378 nt
Filed under: uncultured Acidobacteriota bacterium
Lineage: Bacteria; Pseudomonadati; Acidobacteriota
Description: uncultured Acidobacteria bacterium contains 16S-23S intergenic spacer region
Source: RNAcentral